GCGGGGGCGGGGCAGGGGGGUGGGGAGGAGGCCGGACUGUCCCCUGGUGGGAGGCCUGGACGUGGAGGGAGUGCAGUUGGGCCCUGGUGUCUUAGCAUUCAACAGGGCGCUGAGCACCUGCCCUGUGCCUGGUGAAAAGAGCCAAAGCUUCACAGGCAUCGCUUUUUGACCACCCACUUCCCCUCCACUCAUUCACUCCAUUACAGCUUCCCCGGAAUAACUGUAAUUUGUCCCAUUUUUUGAGCACCUGCGGUAUCCCUAGCUCAAAGUACACUGUUUUCACAAAUGGAUUAAAAAAAAAACAAAAAACAAAAAAAACGCCUUCGCGGUGAUUCCCUUCAUCAGUGUUCUCUUUACCAGGCAAUUAACGCGGUCAGUUGUGGAUUGGUUUGUUCAUUCAUUCAUUCGUUUUGUAAAUGGUCCCUGAGCUUCUGAGAUGCACAGCCGUUUUCCAAACGUUCCCCCAUGCCCCAGGCAUCCUUCUCCGUUGUGUGCGUGCUUUACCCCGCAGGGCCGAAUUGAGAAUGAUAGACAAAAGCUAUUUUUUGCCAUCUGGCAGCAGAGAAAACAGGCCGAGAGGCUAAGAAAAGGGUUGACAACUCAGUUGUCUUCAGGGUUCAGGUGAAACAGCCCCGGGUAAGAAAGUUCAACUUUUAAUUUCACCAUAAGAGAAAGAAUGAUGAAAUAACCACAGACACCAGGUCUCUGCAGCAGGGACCACGGAAGUGGGACUUGGGCAAAAUGGAGAGCAGGCCCUAUCUAAUCAGCCGCAGCUAAUGGCCGCCGUGUGAAAAUGAAGAUCCCCCGUGGCCAGGCUUUGGGGCAAGGGAAGUCAGACAUCCAGGCUUUAGGUCAGUUUCUCUGCUUUUUAAAAAUUGAAAAUCGGGUCCAAUUCGAACACAGUCCACGUGGGCCAAGUCAAAGCUGCAUGGGCAGAGUGUCUCUCUCUAAAUUAUUCUAGGCAGUUAAGGGAGAGGUGAAAAGCUCAUCUUGAGUCUGUUGGACCUUGAUUGUUUUCAGCUCAAAAUAAUCCACACGUCCAAGUAGCAAAUUCUGGGGCAGCCUGCCGUAAACCCCAUCAAGGAGUUAAAAAGAGAGCUCUGGAGUCAGAAAGACAGGCUUUACACUUGAGUUGGGGCAAGACUUAAUUUCUGUGACGGUUUAAUCCUCUAAACUGAAGUGGAUAUGGUAAAGGUUAAAUAACCGAACGCACGUAGGAGCGGAAGCGUGGUGCUCAGUUUCUCAGCGCUCAGUUGCAAUCGGUACAUGGUAGAAAGCGGUACUUUGACUCAGUACUUUGAGAAUCACAUGUGCUGCGGGAAUUAUCACUAGACCACCAAAAGUCCCACUCAACUGGGAGAUUCGAUGCUUUUAUGCCCGGUUUUCCCUCUCAUAUUUUUAUAUAUGGCUGUUGUGUUUUUGCUUUUGUUAUGUCUUUUGGGGAGGAUUGAUAAUUCUUCAAACAGUCCAGGAAGUAUUCUCAUGUCUCUCUCCAUUGCCGUUUGGUUUAAUAGCUACCUUUUUUUGGAACAUUUUUGGGGGCCGCAUUCCAGAGAUUGUGCUAAGAACUUUACAGGCAUUGUUUUAUUUAAUCCUCAUUACACCCUGUGAACUAGGCCCUUGUUACCCGAUUUUUCAUUUUCUAUGUAUCCAUAGUCACAAGGCCGAGUAGGAAAGCAAUGUCCUACAAAAGUCUUGCUAAUAAACCAGCCACUUAUAAAAUUAGUCACUACUUAAUAAUUUCCUGCUUAUCCCUACCAGUGCCAUUAAUAUCUUUGGCAGUCAGUUUCUAGCUAAUCAAUAAGUGUGGUAAACAUCAGGAUAAUACAAUGGAAAUAAAACUAACUGCAAACAAAAAUUACACCUCUCCCAAGAGCAAGACUUCGUGAAAUCUCUGAAAGUAAUGAGAACUCCUUACUUACAUCGCCCUCAGCCUGACACCAGUGAACAAGAGGAGAAGAAAAAUGAGCAAAGAUGAUGAUGUGAUAGGAAUUUGACAAACGAAGGAUUUGCAUAGCAAAGAAUAAAAUUAGGCCUUUGGGAAACCUGAUAAAGCCCAGGAAUGUUUCAGUAAAACUGACCUUUCCGUGUUGUAAAAGUGAGACAGGAAAUAAAAUAUCUUAGUGUUUGAGGGGAAAUGCACCAGGAAAAAAAAAAAAAAAAAACAGUUGACACUGUAAGUUAUUCUUGGAUUAUUUUAAGAAUUGGUAUAUAGCUGCCAUUAUAACCUAUGUUUUGUUAAAUAUAAUAUGAACUUCAUAAUUUUAGGCUCCUAUUUCAAGAUAAAGUUCCUCUCAAAUCUUUUUCCCCCUCUAUUUACUAUCAUAUGUUGUUUCUGAGGGAUAGUUUUGGCUGCAAUUAACUGAAAACUCUGACUCAAAAUGGCUUAUUUCUUAGAAGCCUAGAGGUGGGUCUGUGAAGGUGAUUGUUUCCAUGGCCCUGGCUUUUUGUUUCUUACUGCUCUGCCAUCCUCAGGUCUCAGCUUGGUACAGAUGCAGGGGUCACAUCCAAAUGAAAAGCCUUCCUCAGUUUCCUGCAGAUUUCCUAUCCUGUUUCUUUCUCCAGAAUUGGGCCAGUAUCCAUGCCCAUUCCCAAUGAGAUGAGCUCAAUUGGCUUAGACUAGCCCUGAAGUACUUAGCUUUGUGGGGGAGUAAUGGCAACCCAAAUUAAGUUGGCUUUCUGUUGGGAAGGAAGAAGGGGGCUAAGGGCAACCCACAGAUCCAGUCACAACCUUUUGAAUGAAUUCACUUCGUAGUGGUUCUGAUUGGUUUUGGAUCAGGUACCGACUUUUACAGACCAGUCAGUACUCUUGCUAUUUCUAACUUCUUGUUAUUUCUAAUUUACAGAUUAGUAGUUGAAGACUCAGAGGAAGUGAAAUGACUUGUCCAAGUUCACACAGCUAAUAAGUGGUAGAGGUAGAAUUUAAACUCAGAUCUUCUGACUCUGAGUCUUGUUCCUAACUCAAGUUAUAUUUUCUAAAAUGGCUUUACUGCACCUAUAAAGAUCCUAGUAUUGCUCAAGGUGCGAUCUACACACAAGGACACAAAUCUUAUGUAAAAUUAAAAGGCUUAGUUAAUCUGUACCAAUCCCUAUAGAGUGAAUCACUGUUCGGUCAGUUAUAAAUAUAUUGCUUGUACCUCUCUUUAACCAUUCACUUAAUUUUGACUUUACUGGCUACCUAUGUAAUUCUCUCUCUGCUCUCUAAACUUAGAGAGCAGAGACUGGCUAAUUAGUUUGUGUAGCAAUUAGUAUAGUGUUCGGUACAUAGCAGGACUUGGUAAAUGUUUGAAAUUAAACAAAGGACUUGUCCAUAGUUAGUAAAAGUAGUUGUGCUCGGACUAGAAGCCAAGUUGUUGGACAGAACCCUCUCAGUGGUCUUCCUAGUAUACUUUUCAUGUUUUAUAAGGAGAACCUUCUGUGCCAUAGUCAAAUCAUUUAAUUCUCAUUCGGUACGCGUGCUUAGAGCACCGGGUGUGCUCCACGCGCGGGAGCAGGCACUGGGAGCACACUGGUGGCGCUCUCCGGUAGGGAAUACAGACACCUGCAAAGUAGAUGGGAAGCAAGGCUGGCUGACUCCCUCCCUCCAGAUCCUGGCUGGGCACCCUUAGAUAUAAGCAGUCAGGGGGAUUCAGAAAGGUGUGAAACCAUGUUCCUGUCUUGAAGGGAGUCAAUGCUUUAACUUAGACAACUAAGUACAGAUGAAAAUAACCGCAGUGCUCAACGAAUUCUUAACAAAAGAUUUGUAUAUCUCACUGUAUGUCAGUGCUAUCUCAAUAAAAAAGAUUGAACGAAGUGGGGAAAAAAAUAACAGAAUUCAGCCUAGUACCCAUUAUGUUUGAAACAUACGAUGCCAACAAAGACAUUAUGUUUACAGAUCUUUAAGCAAGUUAUUGAACCUGAACAGUGUGUUGAGGGUCGAGUAUUCUGAAAAAGGAGAAAUAUUUUGAAAGCGGACAGGCAGCAUAAGGGUUAACUACACAGACUGUAGCCAAGCAGGCUUAGUUCAAAUCCCAGAUCCCCAUCCUUGAGAACAUUUU
Molecule: long non-coding RNA, 4037 nt
Organism: Panthera uncia (snow leopard)
Lineage: Eukaryota; Metazoa; Chordata; Mammalia; Carnivora; Felidae
Exons: 2
Source: RefSeq, a predicted model, not a curated record